RNAcentral lists this ribosomal RNA (138 nucleotides) under uncultured eukaryote. RNAcentral describes it as "partial 18S ribosomal RNA". It matches the Rfam family "Eukaryotic small subunit ribosomal RNA", at positions 1299 to 1458 of the family's 1831-position model. The record is from RNAcentral.
UGGUGGUUGCCUUGUCAGGUUGAUUCCGGUAACGAACGAGACCUCAGCCUGCUAAAUAGUCACUGUCGCCUUGGCGGCUGGCAGACUUCUUAGAGGGACUAUUGACGUUUCAGUCAAUGGAAGUAUGAGGCAAUAACA